UACGUAGGGUGCGAGCGUUAAUCGGAAUUACUGGGCGUAAAGAGUGCGUAGGCGGUUCGUUAUGUCUGCUGUGAAAGCCCCGGGCUUAACCCGGGAAUGGCAGUGGAAACUGGCGGGCUUGAGUGUGGCAGAGGGGGGUGGAAUUCCGCGUGUAGCAGUGAAAUGCGUAGAGAUGUGGAGGAACACCGAUGGCGAAGGCAGCCCCCUGGGCUAACACUGACGCUCAUGCACGAAAGCGUGGGGAGCAAACAGG
RNAcentral lists this ribosomal RNA (253 nucleotides) under uncultured bacterium. RNAcentral describes it as "partial 16S ribosomal RNA". It matches the Rfam family "Bacterial small subunit ribosomal RNA", at positions 524 to 776 of the family's 1533-position model. The record is from RNAcentral.